Perognathus longimembris pacificus (Pacific pocket mouse) is the source of this 109-nucleotide small nuclear RNA. The record is from RefSeq and is a predicted model, not a curated record. Lineage: Eukaryota; Metazoa; Chordata; Mammalia; Rodentia; Heteromyidae.
GUGCUCACUUCAGCAGUACAUAUACUAAAAUUAGAACAACACAGAGAUUAGCAUGGCCACUGUACAAGGAUGAUGAACAAAUUCGUUGGUUCCCUGUGAAGCAAUAUGU